AGCCCCCUAAACACAAAUAAUUAUAAAAACAAAAUUAUUCGCCAGAGUACUACCGGCAACAGCCCGAAACUCAAAGGACUUGGCGGUGCUUUAUACCCUUCUAGAGGAGCCUGUUCUAUAAUCGAUAAACCCCGAUAAACCUCACCAAUCCUUGCUAAUACAGUCGGGCAACUAAACCGUACACCGGGGACAAAAGUAAGCUCAAUGAUGACACAUAAAGACGUUAGGUCGAGGUGUAACCAGUGGCGUGGGAAGAAGUGGGCUACAUUUUCUACCCAAGAAAAUUUAAUACGAAAGCCAUUAUGAAAUUAAUAGCCAAAGGAGGAUUUAGCAGUAAACUAAGAAUAGAGUGCUUAGUUGAAUCAGGCCAUGAAGCACGC
Molecule: ribosomal RNA, 380 nt
Filed under: Ovis aries (sheep)
Lineage: Eukaryota; Metazoa; Chordata; Mammalia; Artiodactyla; Bovidae
Description: partial 12S ribosomal RNA
Rfam family: Bacterial small subunit ribosomal RNA
Source: RNAcentral